ACGAUGCCAACUGACGAUCCGUGGUGGUAGUAUAAUAACCUUCCCCACGGGCAGUCCCCGGGAAACCUUUAAGUCUUUGGGUUCCGGGGGAAGUAUGGUUGCAAAGCUGAAACUUAAAGGAAUUGACGGAAGGGCACCACCAGGAGUGGAGCCUGCGGCUUAAUUUGACUCAACACGGGAAAACUCACCCGGCCCGGACACUAUGAGGAUUGACAGAUUGAUAGCUCUUUCUUGAUUUGGUGGUUGGUGGUGCAUGGCCGUUCUUAGUUGGUGGAGCGAUUUGUCUGGUUAAUUCCGAUAACGAACGAGACUCUAGCCUGCUAAUUAGUGCACCUGUCCACUGUUCCUGUGCAAGCGGCGUUUCGGCGAUUCUGCUCAGUUCAUCUGUGCAGCGGAGUGGUAGUCAUUGGCAGUGCCUUCGCGGUGCUGUCGGCGGCUGCUGUUCUGUUGUUUCAGUUUGAGUGGAUGGACCUGCGUUUGCUUCCGGGUACGGCGCGGGUGUUUACUUCUUAGAGGGACAAGCGAAUGAAAGCGCACGAAAUUGAGCAAUAACAGGUCUGUGAUGCCCUUAGAUGUCCGGGGCCGCACGCGCGCUACAAUGACGGUGCCAACGAGUCUGACCUUCUGACCCGAAAGGGUUGGGCAAACUGGUCAAUCACCGUCAUGACAGGGAUCGGGGCUUGGAAUUGUUCCCCGUGAACGAGGAAUUCCUAGUAAGUGCAAGUCAUAAGCUUGCGCUGAUUACGUCCCUGCCCUUUGUACACACCGCCCGUCGCUACUACCGAUUGAAUGGUUUAGUAAGGUCCUUGGAUUGGCGCUAUUGAAGUGGGCUCCGAAAGGUGUUCGCUCGACAGGUGCUGAGAAGACGACCAAACUUGAUCAUUUAGAGGAAGUAAAAGU
Molecule: ribosomal RNA, 900 nt
Filed under: Callitetrarhynchus gracilis
Lineage: Eukaryota; Metazoa; Platyhelminthes; Cestoda; Trypanorhyncha; Lacistorhynchidae
Description: SSU rRNA
Rfam family: Eukaryotic small subunit ribosomal RNA
Source: RNAcentral